This is a non-coding RNA of Xyrichtys novacula (pearly razorfish), 196 nucleotides long. The record is from the annotation of a GenBank genome assembly. NCBI's taxonomy places the organism in Eukaryota, Metazoa, Chordata, Actinopteri, Labriformes, Labridae.
ACACCACUAUUACACCAGACCCCAUAUUUUUGCUUCUGUGAGAGCUAUAAUAUUAAUAUUAGUGUUUUUUGGGUUUUUUUGCAUUGAAACCUAUUUAAUUGAAUUCCUAGACCCCAAAAAUGUGCACUUUGACACCAAUAUUAUGAUUAUAGCUCUAACAGAAGCAAAGAUACGGGGUCUGGUGUAUAAGUGGUUU